UGGGGAAUAUUGCACAAUGGGCGCAAGCCUGAUGCAGCCAUGCCGCGUGUAUGAAGAAGGCCUUCGGGUUGUAAAGUACUUUCAGCGGGGAGGAAGGCGAUAAGGUUAAUAACCUUGUCGAUUGACGUUACCCGCAGAAGAAGCACCGGCUAACUCCGUGCCAGCAGCCGCGGUAAUACGGAGGGUGCAAGCGUUAAUCGGAAUUACUGGGCGUAAAGCGCACGCAGGCGGUCUGUCAAGUCGGAUGUGAAAUCCCCGGGCUCAACCCGGGAACUGCAUUCGAAACUGGCAGGCUAGAGUCUUGUAGAGGGGGGUAGAAUUCCAGGUGUAGCGGUGAAAUGCGUAGAGAUCUGGAGGAAUACCGGUGGCGAAGGCGGCCCCCUGGACAAAGACUGACGCUCAGGUGCGAAAGCGUGGGGAGCAAACA
Molecule: ribosomal RNA, 427 nt
Filed under: uncultured bacterium
Lineage: Bacteria
Description: partial 16S ribosomal RNA
Rfam family: Bacterial small subunit ribosomal RNA
Source: RNAcentral